This 506-nucleotide ribosomal RNA is filed under the name uncultured bacterium. RNAcentral describes it as "partial 16S ribosomal RNA". It matches the Rfam family "Bacterial small subunit ribosomal RNA", at positions 29 to 523 of the family's 1533-position model. The record is from RNAcentral.
AGUGAACGCUGGCGGUAGGCCUAACACAUGCAAGUCGAACGGCAGCACAGGAGAGCUUGCUCUCUGGGUGUCGAGUGGCGGACGGGUGAGGACUACAUCGGAAUCUACUCUGUCGUGGGGGAUAACGUAGGGAAACUUACGCUAAUACCGCAUACGACCUACUGGUGAAAGCAUGGGAUCUUCGGACCGUGCGCGACUGGAUGAGCCGAUGUCGGAUUAGCUCGUUGGCGGGGUAAAGGCCCACCAAGGCGACGAUCCGUAGCUGGUCUGAGAGGAUGAUCAGCCACACUGGAAAUGAGACACGGUCCAGACUCCUACGGGAGGCAGCAGUGGGGAAUAUUGGACAAUGGGCGCAAGCCUGAUCCAGCCAUACCGCGUGGGUGAAGAAGGCCUUCGGGUUGUAAAGCCCUUUUGUUGGUAAAGAAAUCCAGCUGGCUAAUACCCGGUUGGGAUGACGGUACCCAAAGAAUAAGCACCGGCUAACUUCGUGCCAGCCGCCGCAGUAA